UGGGGAAUUUUGGACAAUGGGCGAAAGCCUGAUCCAGCAAUGCCGCGUGUGUGAAGAAGGCCUUCGGGUUGUAAAGCACUUUUGUCCGGAAAGAAAUCCUUGGCUCUAAUACAGUCGGGGGAUGACGGUACCGGAAGAAUAAGCACCGGCUAACUACGUGCCAGCAGCCGCGGUAAUACGUAGGGUGCAAGCGUUAAUCGGAAUUACUGGGCGUAAAGCGUGCGCAGGCGGUUUGCUAAGACCGAUGUGAAAUCCCCGGGCUCAACCUGGGAACUGCAUUGGUGACUGGCAGGCUAGAGUAUGGCAGAGGGGGGUAGAAUUCCACGUGUAGCAGUGAAAUGCGUAGAGAUGUGGAGGAAUACCGAUGGCGAAGGCAGCCCCCUGGGCCAAUACUGACGCUCAUGCACGAAAGCGUGGGGAGCAAACAGGAUUAGAUACCCUGGUAGUCCGCGCCCUAAACGAUGUCAACUAGUUGUUGGGGAUUCAUUUCCUAGUAACGUAGCUAACGCGUGAAGUUGACCGCCUGGGGAGUACGGUCGCAAGAUUAAAACUCAAAUGAAUUGACGGGGUCAUAGCUG
This 578-nucleotide ribosomal RNA is filed under the name uncultured bacterium. Its description in RNAcentral is "partial 16S ribosomal RNA". It matches the Rfam family "Bacterial small subunit ribosomal RNA", at positions 355 to 932 of the family's 1533-position model. The record is from RNAcentral.